RNAcentral lists this ribosomal RNA (506 nucleotides) under uncultured bacterium. Its description in RNAcentral is "partial 16S ribosomal RNA". It matches the Rfam family "Bacterial small subunit ribosomal RNA", at positions 29 to 523 of the family's 1533-position model. The record is from RNAcentral.
AGUGAACGCUGGCGGUAGGCCUAACACAUGCAAGUCGAACGGCAGCACAGGAGAGCUUGCUCUCUGGGUGGCGAGUGGCGGACGGGUGAGGAAUAAAUCGGAAUCUACUCUGUCGUGGGGGAUAACGUAGGGAAACUUACGCUAAUACCGCAUACGACCUACGGGUGAAAGCAGGGGAUCUUCGGACCUUGCGCUAUUGAACGAGCCGAUGUCGGAUUAGCUAGUUUGCGGGGUAAAGGCCCACCAAGGCGACGAUCCGUAGCGGGGCUGAGAGGAUGAUCGACCACACUGGAACUGAGACACGGUCCAGACUCCUACGGGAGGCAGCAGUGGGGAAUAUCGGACAAUGGGCGCAAGCCUGAUCCAGCCAUACCGCGUGGGUGAAGAAGGCCUUCGGUUUGUAAAGCCCUUUUGUUGGGAAAGAAAUCCAGCUGGCUAAUACCCGGUUGGGAUGACGGUACCCAAAGAAUAAGCACCGUCUAACUUCGUGCCAGCCGCCGCCGUAA